UACGGAGGGGGCUAGCGUUGUUCGGAAUUACUGGGCGUAAAGCGUACGUAGGCGGCUUUGUAAGUUAGAGGUGAAAGCCCGGGGCUCAACUCCGGAAUUGCCUUUAAGACUGCAUCGCUUGAAUCAUGGAGAGGUUAGUGGAAUUCCGAGUGUAGAGGUGAAAUUCGUAGAUAUUCGGAAGAACACCAGUGGCGAAGGCGGCCCGCUGGACCGGCAUUGACGCUGAGGUGCGAAAGCGUGGGGAGCAAACAGG
RNAcentral lists this ribosomal RNA (253 nucleotides) under uncultured bacterium. Its description in RNAcentral is "partial 16S ribosomal RNA". It matches the Rfam family "Bacterial small subunit ribosomal RNA", at positions 524 to 776 of the family's 1533-position model. The record is from RNAcentral.